This 264-nucleotide unclassified non-coding RNA is filed under the name plant metagenome. RNAcentral describes it as "partial contains small subunit ribosomal RNA, internal transcribed spacer 1, and 5.8S ribosomal RNA". The stretch from base 1 to 53 matches the Rfam family "Eukaryotic small subunit ribosomal RNA", at positions 1778 to 1831 of the family's 1831-position model. The record is from RNAcentral.
GGAAGUAAAAUCGUAACAAGGUUUCCGUAGGUGAACCUGCGGAAGGAUCAUUACCGAGUGCGUCCGUUAAAUCGGACUCCUCCCCACCCUUGUGUAUUUUAGCUGAAAAGCAGCUUCGGCGGGCCGUCUUACCUCAAUUCUGGGGUUUUGACAUCGGCCCUGUGCGGAUUUGUGCCCGCCGAAGAACCAACUCUUUGACAACUUGAAGUCUGAUAACAAUUGAUAAAUAAAUCAAAACUUUCAACAACGGAUCUCUUGGUUCUG